RNAcentral lists this ribosomal RNA (241 nucleotides) under uncultured bacterium. RNAcentral describes it as "partial 16S ribosomal RNA". It matches the Rfam family "Bacterial small subunit ribosomal RNA", at positions 524 to 763 of the family's 1533-position model. The record is from RNAcentral.
UACGUAGGGUGCGAGCGUUGUCCGGAAUUACUGGGCGUAAAGAGCUCGUAGGUGGUUUGUCGCGUUUGUUCGUGAAAACCUGAGGCUUAACCUUGGGCGUGCGGGCGAUACGGGCAGACUGGAGUACUGCAGGGGAGACUGGAAUUCCUGGUGUAGCGGUGGAAUGCGCAGAUAUCAGGAGGAACACCGGUGGCGAAGGCGGGUCUCUGGGCCGAAUGACUGACGCUGGAGUGACGACGAA